Long non-coding RNA from Biomphalaria glabrata, 508 nucleotides. RefSeq lists it as uncharacterized. NCBI's taxonomy places the organism in Eukaryota, Metazoa, Mollusca, Gastropoda, Planorbidae. The transcript is spliced from 3 exons. The record is from RefSeq and is a predicted model, not a curated record.
GUAUAAAUACAUUUAAAAAUGUAUAUUUCAAGAAGAAAUGAUGCUUUCUUAUUCCUAAGAGUUUAUCAAUAGGAUGAAUGCCACAAAACUCACUUGUUAUGCCAGAAACUCUUCCUACGAAACUUCCAUACUAGAAUUUGUCCAGUGCCUGUGAUCCUCUGAGUUAAAGGAGAAUGUGCUCCAUAAUACCUACUAGUAGCUUGCUGAUAGCUGGAAGUUCAUGAAUACUAUGUUGUCCUUGAUUUGAUGAUUCUGAAAACUACCAUUUCUUAAGACUUGAGCAUUAUUUCUAUAAUUUAAAAAAAUCUUUUCAGGAAAUAUUGUGUUUAUAAUAUUAAGAAAGUGAAGAUAAUAUUGUUCUUACUAAUAUUAUUGUUAUUAUUAUUAUUAAAAUAGAAAGCACAUCAUUACAAUAUUCACUUGUCAAUAAAUGUUAGCAUUAUUCAAUUUUUAGUUACAUGUUCAGACUAUUAAAUUUUAUUAUUUAAAUUAUAGCAACUUUCUCUUU